CAGCAAUGCCUGGAGGAAGCCAUCUUGACUGCCUGAACUAGCUCUGAGACAGAUAUGUGUCAAGCAGUUUAUCAGCAGAGGAGGAAAUGAGAUUGCCAUGUAUAGUGUGAAGCCACUCUUGUUGAAAUUUGGAUCUACAAAUGGUUUUUGAACACCUGCACAAUUCACUCACUGGAGUGAUCUACAGUUCACUUUGCAGCAAACCAGAUCUUAUUAAGUGUUUCCAGAUAGAAAGAGAAGGGAAGCCAGAAAGUCGUUUGCGCUCUCAGCUUCCUUCCAGUUUUGUGCUUCAGCUGC
Hemicordylus capensis (graceful crag lizard) is the source of this 297-nucleotide long non-coding RNA. RefSeq lists it as uncharacterized. The record is from RefSeq and is a predicted model, not a curated record. Lineage: Eukaryota; Metazoa; Chordata; Lepidosauria; Squamata; Cordylidae. The transcript has 4 exons.